GCGUUGACGUUGUGUUGACCAAGACUCUUCCCUCUUCCCCUCCCGACCCCCGUACCCAAUUUUUUCCCCUUUUCCCCCAUUUUAGGAGCUACUUUGUUACAAAUCCCACCUCCCCGGGGAAUUCCGUCUCCUCUGGCGGCGCCGUUUCCCCAGCCCCCUGCUCUCCCUGCUCUACGCCGACCUCACGGCCGACGGGCUGCGCGAGUUGGCCGUCGUCUGCCUCAAGGGCCUCCACGUCCUGCAGCACAGCCUGGAACCCACGGCCCGGCGGGUCCUGGAGCGGCUGCGGAGACGCGCGGAACGACGGGCCUUGGAAGGGUGAAGACCUUCAUCUUCCAUCGUCAGCGACGGACCCAAACUCGGCCCUUUUCACCCCAAAAAUGAAUAAAAUAACGCAAAACCCCC
This is a long non-coding RNA of Calidris pugnax (ruff), 405 nucleotides long. RefSeq lists it as uncharacterized. The transcript has 2 exons. Lineage: Eukaryota; Metazoa; Chordata; Aves; Charadriiformes; Scolopacidae. The record is from RefSeq and is a predicted model, not a curated record.